Molecule: ribosomal RNA, 517 nt
Filed under: uncultured bacterium
Lineage: Bacteria
Description: bacterial SSU rRNA
Rfam family: Bacterial small subunit ribosomal RNA
Source: RNAcentral
GGAUCCAGACUUUGAUUCUGGCUCAGGACGAACGCUGGCGGCGCGCCUAACACAUGCAAGUCGAGCGGGAAGCUAUUUAAGGAUUCUUCGGAUGAAUUAAAAAGUGGAGAGCGGCGGACGGGUGAGUAACGCGUGAGAAACCUGCCCUAUACAGGGGGAUAGCCAUUGGAAACGAUGAUUAAUACCCCAUAUGACCACAGUAUCGCAUGAUACAGCGGUGAAAACUCCGGUGGUAUAGGAUGGUCUCGCGUCUGAUUAGCUAGUUGGUGGGGUAACGGCCUACCAAGGCGACGAUCAGUAGCCGGCCUGAGAGGGUGACCGGCCACACUGGAACUGAGACACGGUCCAGACUCCUACGGGAGGCAGCAGUGGGGAAUAUUGCACAAUGGGCGAAAGCCUGAUGCAGCGACGCCGCGUGAACGAUGAAGGCUUUCGAGUCGUAAAGUUCUGUUCUUGGGGAAGAUAACGACGGUACCCAAGGAGAAAGCACCGGCUAAAUACGUGCCAGCAGCCGCGG